GACGAACGCUGGCGGCGUGCUUAACACAUGCAAGUCGAACGAUGAAGCCCUUCGGGGUGGAUUAGUGGCGAACGGGUGAGUAACACGUGAGUAACCUGCCCCUUUCUCUGGGAUAACUGUGGGAAACUGCAGCUAAUACCGGAUAUUCACUGCUUCUCGCAUGGGGGUGGUGGAAAGUUUUUCGGUGGGGAUGGCUCGCGGCCUAUCAGCUUGUUGGUGGGGUAGUGGCCUACCAAGGCUUUGACGGGUAGCCGGCCUGAGAGGGCGACCGGCCACACUGGGACUGAGAUACGGCCCAGACUCCUACGGGAGGGCAGCAGUGGGGAAUAUUGCACAAUGGGCGCAAGCCUGAUGCAGCAACGCCGCGUGCGGGAUGAA
This 378-nucleotide ribosomal RNA is filed under the name uncultured bacterium. RNAcentral's name for it is "bacterial SSU rRNA". It matches the Rfam family "Bacterial small subunit ribosomal RNA", at positions 28 to 412 of the family's 1533-position model. The record is from RNAcentral.